This 260-nucleotide ribosomal RNA is filed under the name uncultured bacterium. Its description in RNAcentral is "partial 16S ribosomal RNA". The record is from RNAcentral.
CUGCUGCCUUCCGUAGGAGUUUGGGCCGUGUCUCAGUCCCAAUGUGGCCGUCCACCCUCUCAGGCCGGCUACUGAUCGUCGCCUUGGUGGGCCUUUACCCCGCCAACCAGCUAAUCAGACGCGGGUCCAUCUUGCACCACCGGAGUUUUUCACACUGUCCCAUGCAGGACCGUGCGCUUAUGCGGUAUUAGCACCUAUUUCUAAGUGUUAUCCCCCAGUGCAAGGCAGGUUACCCCACGCGUUACUCACCCGUCCGCCAA